RNAcentral lists this ribosomal RNA (465 nucleotides) under Vreelandella stevensii. RNAcentral's name for it is "partial 16S ribosomal RNA". It matches the Rfam family "Bacterial small subunit ribosomal RNA", at positions 338 to 795 of the family's 1533-position model. Lineage: Bacteria; Pseudomonadati; Pseudomonadota; Gammaproteobacteria; Oceanospirillales; Halomonadaceae. The record is from RNAcentral.
CCUACGGGAGGCUGCAGUGGGGAAUAUUGGACAAUGGGGGGAACCCUGAUCCAGCCAUGCCGCGUGUGUGAAGAAGGCCCUCGGGUUGUAAAGCACUUUCAGUGAGGAAGAACGCCUGGUGGUUAAUACCCAUCAGGAAAGACAUCACUCACAGAAGACGCACCGGCUAACUCCGUGCCAGCAGCCGCGGUAAUACGGAGGGUGCGAGCGUUAAUCGGAAUUACUGGGCGUAAAGCGCGCGUAGGUGGCUUGAUAAGCCGGUUGUGAAAGCCCCGGGCUCAACCUGGGAACGGCAUCCGGAACUGUCAAGCUAGAGUGCAGGAGAGGAAGGUAGAAUUCCCGGUGUAGCGGUGAAAUGCGUAGAGAUCGGGAGGAAUACCAGUGGCGAAGGCGGCCUUCUGGACUGACACUGACACUGAGGUGCGAAAGCGUGGGUAGCAAACAGGAUUAGAUACCCCAGUAGUC